This 499-nucleotide ribosomal RNA is filed under the name Dietelia mesoamericana. RNAcentral describes it as "eukaryotic LSU rRNA". It matches the Rfam family "Eukaryotic large subunit ribosomal RNA", at positions 72 to 575 of the family's 3401-position model. Lineage: Eukaryota; Fungi; Basidiomycota; Pucciniomycetes; Pucciniales; Pucciniaceae. The record is from RNAcentral.
GGAUUCCCUUAGUAAUGGCGAAUGAACAGGGAAAAGCCCAAAUUUGUAAUCUGGCUCUUUCAGAGUCCGAGUUGUAAUUUUAAGAACUGUUUUCAGUGCUGGACCAUGUUAAAGUCUGCUGAAAAGCAGCAUCAUAGAAGGUGAUAAUCCUGUUCAUGAUGUGGACUACCAGUGCAAUAUGAUACAGUUUCUAAGAGUCGAGUUGUUUGGGAAUGCAGCUCAAAAUGGGUGGUAAAUUCCAUCUAAGGCUAAAUAUGGAUGAGAGACCGAUAGUAAACAAGUACCGUGAGGGAAAGAUGAAAAGAACUUUGGAAAGAGAGUUAACAGUACGUGAAAUUGUUAAAAGGGAAACAAUUGAAGUUAGACUUGUUAUUGUUAGUUCAACCUUUUUUAAAGGAGUAUUCUAAUGAUUAACAGACCAACAUCAAUUUUUGGGUGUUGGAUAAGGGUUUGAGGAAAUGUAGCAGUUUCUGACUGUGUUAUAGUCCUUGAGCUUUGA